GACGAACGCUGGCGGCGUGCUUAACACAUGCAAGUCGAGCGGAAAGGCCACUUCGGUGGUACUCGAGCGGCGAACGGGUGAGUAACACGUGAGUAAUCUGCCCCUCACUUUGGGAUAGCCACCGGAAACGGUGAUUAAUACCGGAUAUGACCAUAUGUCGCAUGGCGUGUGGUGGAAAGUUUUUCGGUGAGGGAUGUGCUCGCGGCCUAUCAGCUUGAUGGUGAGGUAAUGGCUCACCAUGGCUUCGACGGGUAGCCGGCCUGAGAGGGUGACCGGUCACACUGGGACUGAGACACGGCCCAGACUCCUACGGGAGGCAGCAGUGGGGAAUAUUGGACAAUGGGCGGAAGCCUGAUCCAGCAACGCCGCGUGAGGGAUGACGGCCUUCGGGUUGUAAACCUCUUUCAGUACCGACGAAGCGCAAGUGACGGUAGGUACAGAAGAAGCACCGGCCAACUACGUG
RNAcentral lists this ribosomal RNA (463 nucleotides) under uncultured bacterium. RNAcentral's name for it is "partial 16S ribosomal RNA". It matches the Rfam family "Bacterial small subunit ribosomal RNA", at positions 28 to 507 of the family's 1533-position model. The record is from RNAcentral.